GUCACUUUGGCGGAGUGGUUAACGCGCUGCCCUGCUAAUGANCNGCAUUAGCUAGCCUAGGCAGUUCCUUCGGGAGCGUAGGUUCGAAUCCUACAGGUGACG
This 102-nucleotide transfer RNA is filed under the name Madurella mycetomatis. It matches the Rfam family "tRNA". From Rfam's summary of the family: Transfer RNA (tRNA) molecules are approximately 80 nucleotides in length. Their secondary structure includes four short double-helical elements and three loops (D, anti-codon, and T loops). The record is from Rfam by way of RNAcentral. Lineage: Eukaryota; Fungi; Ascomycota; Sordariomycetes; Sordariales.